ACUCCUACGGGAGGCAGCAGUGGGGAAUAUUGCACAAUGGGCGCAAGCCUGAUGCAGCCAUGCCGCGUGUGUGAAGAAGGCCUUCGGUUGUAAAGCACUUUCAGUUGUGAGGAAGGUGGUGUCGUUAAUAGCGGCAUCAUUUGACGUUAGCAACAGAAGAAGCACCGGCUAACUCCGUGCCAGCAGCCGCGGUAAUACGGAGGGUGCGAGCGUUAAUCGGAAUUACUGGGCGUAAAGCGCAUGCAGGUGGUUUGUUAAGUCAGAUGUGAAAGCCCGGGGCUCAACCUCGGAACUGCAUUUGAAACUGGCAGACUAGAGUACUGUAGAGGGGGUAGAAUUUCAGGUGUAGCGGUGAAAUGCGUAGAGAUCUGAAGGAAUACCGGUGGCGAAGGCGGCCCCCUGGACAGAUACUGACACUCAGAUGCGAAAGCUGGGGAGCAAACAGGAUUAGAUACCCUGGUAGCACAGAG
RNAcentral lists this ribosomal RNA (470 nucleotides) under uncultured bacterium. RNAcentral's name for it is "bacterial SSU rRNA". It matches the Rfam family "Bacterial small subunit ribosomal RNA", at positions 335 to 799 of the family's 1533-position model. The record is from RNAcentral.